AAUAGAUACCCAGGUAGUCCACCCCGUAAACGUUGGGAACUAGUUGUGGGGUCCUUUCCACGGAUUCCGUGACGCAGCUAACGCAUUAAGUUCCCCGCCUGGGGAGUACGGCCGCAAGGCUAAAACUCAAAGGAAUUGACGGGGACCCGCACAAGCGGCGGAGCAUGCGGAUUAAUUCGAUGCAACGCGAAGAACCUUACCAAGGCUUGACAUACACCAGAACACCCUAGAAAUAGGGGACUCUUUGGACACUGGUGAACAGGUGGUGCAUGGUUGUCGUCAGCUCGUGUCGUGAGAUGUUGGGUUAAGUCCCGCAACGAGCGCAACCCUCGUUCUAUGUUGCCAGCACGUAAUGGUGGGGACUCAUGGGAUACUGCCGGGGUCAACUCGGAGGAAGGUGGGGAUGACGUCAAAUCAUCAUGCCCCUUAUGUCUUGGGCUUCACGCAUGCUACAAUGGCCGGUACAAAGGGCUGCAAUACCGUGAGGUGGAGCGAAUCCCAAAAAGCCGGUCCCAGUUCGGAUUGAGGUCUGCAACUCGACCUCA
RNAcentral lists this ribosomal RNA (545 nucleotides) under uncultured bacterium. Its description in RNAcentral is "bacterial SSU rRNA". It matches the Rfam family "Bacterial small subunit ribosomal RNA", at positions 777 to 1320 of the family's 1533-position model. The record is from RNAcentral.